RNAcentral lists this ribosomal RNA (448 nucleotides) under uncultured Caldilineaceae bacterium. Its description in RNAcentral is "bacterial SSU rRNA". It matches the Rfam family "Bacterial small subunit ribosomal RNA", at positions 920 to 1382 of the family's 1533-position model. The record is from RNAcentral. Lineage: Bacteria; Bacillati; Chloroflexota; Caldilineae; Caldilineales; Caldilineaceae.
CCCGCACAAGCAGCGGAGCGUGUGGUUUAAUUCGAUGCUACACGAAGAACCUUACCUGGAUUUGACAUGCACGUAGUAGUGAACCGAAAGGGGAACGAGCCUUCGGGCAGCGUGCACAGGUGCUGCAUGGCUGUCGUCAGCUCGUGCCGUGAGGUGUUGGGUUAAGUCCCGCAACGAGCGCAACCCUCGUCGCUAGUUACAUGUGUCUAGCGAGACUGCCAGGUUAACCCUGGAGGAAGGUGGGGAUGACGUCAAGUCAGCAUGGCCUUUAUGUCCAGGGCUACACACACGCUACAAUGGUCGGUACAAUGGGAUGCCAAGCCGCGAGGCGGAGCAAAUCCUCAAAGCCGGCCUCAGUUCGGAUUGCAGGCUGCAAUUCGCCUGCAUGAAGUCGGAAUCGCUAGUAAUCGCAGGUCAGCAUACUGCGGUGAAUACGUUCCCGGGCCUU